Molecule: ribosomal RNA, 52 nt
Filed under: Haloleptolyngbya alcalis KR2005/106
Lineage: Bacteria; Bacillati; Cyanobacteriota; Cyanophyceae; Nodosilineales; Nodosilineaceae
Description: partial 23S ribosomal RNA
Source: RNAcentral
GGUCAAGCUAUAACGGGCUCACGGUGGAUACCUAGGCACACAGAGGCGAAGA